GGAGCCGCGGCGCCUGAUGCGCUCGGGGCUGGGGCUGAUCGUGCUGGGCCACGGCAGCCUGGUGCUGGGCGCCAUCGUGCACGGCUCGGUCCUGCGGCACGUGGCCGGCGCCCGCCGCGCCGUCACCCCCGAGUACGCGGCGGCCAACGUGGUGUCGGUGUGCUCGGGACUGCUGAGCAUCGCCGCGGGCAUCGUCGCCAUCCUGGUGUCGCACAACCUGUCCCGGGCGGCCCUGCACUGGACCCUCCUGAGCGUGUCCCUGCUGAACUGCCUCCUGUCCACCGCGUGUAGCGUGGGGCUGGCACUGGCCAUUGCCCUCACGGUGCACGGCCGGGGCACACACCUGGUCAGAGGCUGCAACAGUUCUGCGCUGCCUGCGGACGCCCGCACAGCCAUCGCAACCAACGACUGUCCCUUCAACACCACUCGCAUCUAUGCAGCCUGGUGUGGUGCCCUCGUUCUGAUGACACCCUGCUCCACAGGACACAGCCCUGGCCCUCUGGUUCCCUUCCCUGCUGCUGGCAGCUGCGGAAGCCGUGCUCUCGGGCAGGUGCUGUUUGGUUGCCCUGGUCUUCCGGGGCAUUGGGCCCUGUACACGCAGCUGUGACAAAGAGCAGCUGGCCAGGCCAAGUGCAGUGAUGGAGAGGUCACCCCGAGAGAGGCAGCAGCUCCUGGCAGGGCUGGCUGAGUCUCGUGCCUAGCUAGAGAGGUGGUGCUGCAGGGAAGCUGCUGUGAUCCAGAGCAAGGUGACAUCACACCUGCACCAUGCCCCUGCUGUGGUGUUGGUGUGGGUAAGGUGGGCUGCAGGGACGAGGGGUGUGCCUUCCUUCUCCUCCAGCCCCACCACCCCACUUGGCACAGAUACUGCAGGUCAGAAAAUGCUUUGGGCCCCAGACGCUCUCCCCUUCUUUCCCCAAGCUGCCAGGCCCUUCCUGGCAUGCUGAAGGCUCUGUCGGCAGUCACGUCUGUCAGCAGUGACUGGGGUGAGCAGAGGUGCUGGGGCCCAAGUCCUGGUGGCACUGCGGGCAGCUCAGCUGGCUGUGCCCUUGCUCAGGCAGGGCAGGGAAGGUGAAGAAUCCCUUUGGUGUGAGCCUCUGGCUUUCUUGAGUAAAUAAACUUUUCCUUUCCA
RNA transcript from Myiozetetes cayanensis, 1129 nucleotides. It is a transcript of the gene named keratinocyte associated protein 3, with no coding region annotated. Lineage: Eukaryota; Metazoa; Chordata; Aves; Passeriformes; Tyrannidae. The record is from RefSeq and is a predicted model, not a curated record. The transcript is spliced from 6 exons.